Molecule: ribosomal RNA, 93 nt
Filed under: uncultured bacterium
Lineage: Bacteria
Description: partial 16S ribosomal RNA
Rfam family: Bacterial small subunit ribosomal RNA
Source: RNAcentral
CCGCCCGUCACAGCAUGGGAGUCAGCUGCUCCAGAAGUGCCUGCGCUAACCGUAAGGAGACAGGGUACCAAGGAGUGGUUGGUAACUGGGCUG